This 253-nucleotide ribosomal RNA is filed under the name uncultured bacterium. Its description in RNAcentral is "partial 16S ribosomal RNA". It matches the Rfam family "Bacterial small subunit ribosomal RNA", at positions 524 to 776 of the family's 1533-position model. The record is from RNAcentral.
UACGUAGGGGGCAAGCGUUGUCCGGAUUUAUUGGGCGUAAAGAGCGUGUAGGCGGCCAGGUAGGUCCGUUGUGAAAACUCGAGGCUCAACCUCGAGACGUCGGCGGAAACCCUCUGGCUAGAGUCCGGAAGAGGAGAGUGGAAUUCCUGGUGUAGCGGUGAAAUGCGCAGAUAUCAGGAAGAACGCCCGUGGCGAAGGCGGCUCUCUGGGACGGUACUGACGCUGAGACGCGAAAGCGUGGGGAGCAAACAGG